UACGGAGGAUGCGAGCGUCAUCCGGAUUUAUUGGGUUUAAAGGGUGCGUAGGCGGAGUGCCAAGUCAGCGGCAAAAAUUCGGGGCUCAACCCCGUCGUGCCGUUGAAACUGGCGCCCUUGAGUGGGCGAGAAGUAUGCGGAAUGCGUGGUGUAGCGGUGAAAUGCAUAGAUAUCACGCAGAACCCCGAUUGCGAAGGCAGCAUACCGGCGCCCGACUGACGCUGAAGCACGAAAGCGUGGGUAUCGAACAGG
This 252-nucleotide ribosomal RNA is filed under the name uncultured bacterium. RNAcentral's name for it is "partial 16S ribosomal RNA". It matches the Rfam family "Bacterial small subunit ribosomal RNA", at positions 524 to 776 of the family's 1533-position model. The record is from RNAcentral.